ACUCCCAAACCCCAAUGUGAACGUUACCAAUCUGUUGCCUCGGCGGGAUUCUCUUGCCCCGGGCGCGUCGCAGCCCCGGAUCCCAUGGCGCCCGCCGGAGGACCAACUCCAAACUCUUUUUUUCUCUCCGUCGCGGCUCCCGUCGCGGCUCUGUUUUAUUUUUGCUCUGAGCCUUUCUCGGCGACCCUAGCGGGCGUCUCGAAAAUGAAUCAAAACUUUCAACAACGGAUCUCUUGGUUCUGGCAUCGAUGAAGAACGCAGCGAAAUGCGAUAAGUAAUGUGAAUUGCAGAAUUCAGUGAAUCAUCGAAUCUUUGAACGCACAUUGCGCCCGCCAGUAUUCUGGCGGGCAUGCCUGUCCGAGCGUCAUUUCAACCCUCGAACCCCUCCGGGGGGUCGGCGUUGGGGAUCGGCCCCUCACCGGGCCGCCCCCGAAAUACAGUGGCGGUCUCGCCGCAGCCUCUCCUGCGCAGUAGUUUGCACACUCGCACCGGGAGCGCGGCGCGGCCACAGCCGUAAAACACCCCAAACUUCUGAAAUGUUGACCUCGGAUCAGGUAGGAAUACCCGCUGAACUUAAGCAUAUCAAUAA
This 589-nucleotide ribosomal RNA is filed under the name Trichoderma longibrachiatum. RNAcentral's name for it is "eukaryotic LSU rRNA". The stretch from base 214 to 367 matches the Rfam family "5.8S ribosomal RNA". Lineage: Eukaryota; Fungi; Ascomycota; Sordariomycetes; Hypocreales; Hypocreaceae. The record is from RNAcentral.